This 582-nucleotide ribosomal RNA is filed under the name Cladosporium cladosporioides. RNAcentral's name for it is "eukaryotic LSU rRNA". The stretch from base 159 to 312 matches the Rfam family "5.8S ribosomal RNA". The record is from RNAcentral. Lineage: Eukaryota; Fungi; Ascomycota; Dothideomycetes; Cladosporiales; Cladosporiaceae.
UACAAGUGACCCCGGUCUUACCACCGGGAUGUUCAUAACCCUUUGUUGUCCGACUCUGUUGCCUCCGGGGCGACCCUGCCUUCGGGCGGGGGCUCCGGGUGGACACUUCAAACUCUUGCGUAACUUUGCAGUCUGAGUAAACUUAAUUAAUAAAUUAAAACUUUUAACAACGGAUCUCUUGGUUCUGGCAUCGAUGAAGAACGCAGCGAAAUGCGAUAAGUAAUGUGAAUUGCAGAAUUCAGUGAAUCAUCGAAUCUUUGAACGCACAUUGCGCCCCCUGGUAUUCCGGGGGGCAUGCCUGUUCGAGCGUCAUUUCACCACUCAAGCCUCGCUUGGUAUUGGGCAACGCGGUCCGCCGCGUGCCUCAAAUCGACCGGCUGGGUCUUCUGUCCCCUAAGCGUUGUGGAAACUAUUCGCUAAAGGGUGUUCGGGAGGCUACGCCGUAAAACAACCCCAUUUCUAAGGUUGACCUCGGAUCAGGUAGGGAUACCCGCUGAACUUAAGCAUAUCAAUAAGCGGAGGAAAAUAUACUUGACAAUUACACCUCAACUCGGGUAGGACUACGCCCUGAACUUAAGCAUA